GUGGUUGACCUAGCUACAUUAACAGGUGCUUGUAUAGUUGCACUUGGGCCCAGUAUUGCAGGUACAGUGAUUACUGACUUUAAUUAUAUAUAUUCCAUGAGUUUAACUAUGCUAUUGUGGUAAUUUUGAAUGAAAUCUAGCCAGAGGGUUACUUAAUAAACUUAAUGAAAUCUAGCCAGAGGGUUAAUUAAUUCUAUUUGUUGAAUAUCCGUUUAUAUCCGUGAUCAUAUCCGAUUCGAUUCUCAAAUAUCCGAACCGUAUCCGUUUCCGAUAAGUGCGGAUAUGGUUAAGGUUUUUUCUUACCGAAGAUGAUCUGUAUCCGUUUAUAAAAAGCGGAUAUGGAUAUGGUAAAUGUCAUAUCCGAACCGUAUCCGCUCCGAUAACACCCCUAGCUCCAGGUCCUUCUUUAUCUCUUUGCUUCAACUUUUAGCCCUAAUCCUAAAACCCUAAAAUCUUGUUUUUCCCCUUGAUUUGAUUUGAAUUUUGGCGAUCAGAGAGCUCUGGCGGUGGGAAACCUUCGAAUCCCCCUCUCUAUCGUUCAGCAAAUGAGCAGGAUGUAUGAUUUUGAUAUGAAUGGGACUAUGUUGAAGGUGGAUUGAGAUUUAUUCUCUUCGGAAAAUUUUGGUGUUUUAGUUUUUUUUUUAAUUAUUCUUUGCUUGCAUUUAGUUAGCUUCUUCUUUAUGCAAUUUUGAUUAGUUAAAGUUUAUUACUGCUACAUUAACUUAUAUGUGUUCUAUUGUUGAACACGACCCUUAAAACGUAUGAAUGCCUGUUGUUGUGAAGCUACUAGAAAAUUGUCCCUGUUUAUGUAAUUUUAUUGGUCUUUUCUUGCAGAAUUUGUCGCUCUUAACAAGUUUCUUUCUAAGGUGAGUAUUUCUACUAAGUUUUUAGUAAGUUUGGGAUGAUACAUUUCAAACUGUGUUACACUUGUCAUUCAUUAUGUGCAUGUUAUUCUAUCGUGUCUCAUUUAUUUAACACUAUGCUUACAUGAGGGAUCGUACAUUUUUAAUACAAUGUCAAAUAUACUUAGAACCUGUGAAUAUAUGUUUACGUACAAUAUUGAUAUACUUUGGACACUUUAGUUUUAUUGAAGGAACUCAGACAGAUCCUUCAUCUUUAGUAUCUUGAGUUGGUAUUUUAGCAUUAAUAUGAUAGAAGGAACCAUGUGAAUAUCUUGAAUGUUCUAAAGACAGAAUAAACAUACUAAAAGUUCAAAUGGUAUAUCAACGUGGUGCAAGGUCAAGAGCAUGGAUAUUGUCUUGGGGCUAGGUUGUACUAAACAUUUCAUUCUCUAUUUAUUUUCUUGCUUGUAUGCAUCACAGUUAGAUGUGUUUGUUUAAGUUCUUAUUGAUAGUUUUCUUUGUCUUCACAAUGAUGAGCACCAUAUAUUCUCAAGGAAUUUAGGAAAUGCCAUAAUUGGAUUUAUGACAGUUAAUUUCUCCUUAGAUAUGUGUUUGACUUAUGUUUUUAGUAAGUUUGGGAAUUAUUUGAUUAUAUAUUUCAUUUGAUUAAACGGAAAUAGAAAACAUAAUACUUUUCUUCUUGAUGCACGUUUUUAUUUGUAAAUAUGAUAUUCUCAUCUAGAACCAAAUUCAUAACAAGUGUGAAGUUUGACCUCGUGGGCUUUGAUAUGAUUUCACUAUAGAAUUUACUAUUAGAGUGUCAAUUUUCUCAACUGUAAUUAAUAUAUACAUAUACAAAAUAACUAAUUUAGUUGGGUCAUAAUGACAAACAUGUAUACACAAGAAUCAAAAGUCUUUUAACUUCACAAUUACCCAUCAAUGAGACUAUACUAUAAGCAAGGUGGCAAAAUAUCACUUCCCUCUUUCUUCUUCUUGUUCGUCUUCUCGAACUGCUUUGAUUAUGCAGAACUCGUGCCUUCAUGAGGAAGACUCCAUAGUGAUAUUGAUCUAUGUUCACUAGUUGCUAAAGAAGACAUUACAUCUUAGCCUAAGAAGGACAAAGAAGAAUAUAGAACAUGAACUAAAAUGUACUCAAAUAAGCAUGGAAAGGUAAAAGAGUAAUCUUUGUCUUAAAUUAACUCAAAGCAGCAUAACCCUCAAUGUUCGAGGUGUCUCGUCCGAUUUACAUGCUAGGUAUAAACAUGCAGCGACAAAUUUAGUUGGAUCCCUACUUUGGCAGCCUCCGAUUACUUUCAUAUUUCUAUAGUUAUCCUUGGCAGAGUCCUUUAAAAAAUUGUUUAAUUUAGAACCACAACUGAACAGACAUUGAAACUUACGAUGAUCUUAGAGAAGUUAACAGAACAAGGAAUUCAUGAAUGGAAUUUGCAUGGAGGGAGUUAGGAAAUUUGUACCUUCAUGCGUGAUACAGCAGGCAACCGGUUACAAGCAAACAAAGUGAUCAGAAACUAAUCUUUUCGAUAAAACACCGUUCUUUUUGGAUUAAUUAUAUUCUUUUGGUUAAUUAUUAUGAAAGCACUCGAGGUUUGACCUACCAUUUCAUACCUCUUCUUCACAAAGCUCCUCAUUUAUUUUAAAUUCCUCUUUCAACGUGUGUUACACGCAAUUUUUAAACAAAAUUAACAAUGAAGAUAAUGGUAGGAGGGGUUAUAAUAAGAAAAUAACAAUUGGGGCAUCCUAAUAAUUAAUUAGACUCUGAUGGUUUCGUAAUAAUUAGUUUUUUAUUUUAGUUUUUUCAAGAACCUCAUUUACCAAAAUAAGAUUUCUACAAAAGCCCUUUUCUUUUAGCCAAGAACUCUAAAAAAACUUCUGAGAUGCUAUCACGGAUGCAUAGAACAUGAAAGAUGAAAAAUUACGACGUUAUUAAGAACAGUGCUAUCAACUAGUCUAAUAAUCUGAUGCAUCAAGAACUCAAAUUCAACAUGAAUACAAAACUCAGCGAAAAUGAAGAAAAUAACAAUUAAACAUCCUAGUAAUUGAUCAAACUCUGAUGGUUACAUAACGAUUAGUUAUUUUAUUUUAUUUUUCAAGAACCCAAUUUACCAAACAAGAUUUCUAUAAAAACCUUUUUCUUUUUGCCAAGAACUCGCUGAAAAAUCUUCGGAGAUGCUAUCAAGAGCAUAUUGAAAAAUGAAAGAAGAGGACUUGUGAUAUUAUCAAGAACAAUGCUAUCAGUCUAAUAAUCUGAUACGUCAAUAACUCAAAUUCAGCAUGAAUAUAAAACUCAACGAUGAUGAAGAAAAUAACAGUUGGGCAUCCUAAUAAUUGACCGAACUUUGAUGGUUUCAUAAUAAUUAGGUUUUUAUUUUAUUUUUUUCGAGAACACAAUUUACCAAAACAAGAUUUCUACAAAAACCCUUUUCUUUUUGCCAAGAACUCGCCGAACAAUCUUCACAGAAGCUAUCAAGAAUGCACUGAAAAUGAAAGAUGAGGACUUUUGAUGUUAUCAAGAACAAUGCUAUCAACUAGUCUAAUAUCUGAUGCAUCAAGAAAUCAAAUUCAGCAUGAAUACAAAGGAAAGAAACAUAAAACUCAAUGAAGAUGAAGCAAAAUGAAACACACCUGUCUCCAAUGCUAUCAAUUAGCCUAGAAAUCUCAUCAUCAAGGUCGAUCUGAAUCAUUGCAGCAACCUCAGGAACAACAGAGACAUUGUUCGGAUCAUCAUCACCAAGCAUCCUCUCAGCAUUGAAGACAAUUCUUUCCUCAAGAACUAAACCGCACUCUGAACAGAUUUUAUCCGCAUUGAAGACAUCUGUUCAAAGUGCGGUUUAGUUCUUGAGGAAAGAAUUGUAGAGGAUGCUUGGUGAUGAUGAUCUGAACAAUGUCCCUGUAGCUCCUGAGGUUGCUACAAUGAUUCAGGUCGACCUUGACGAUGAGAUUUAUAGGCUAAUUAAUAGCAUUGGAGACAGGUGUGUUUCAUUUUGCUUCAUCUUCAUUGAGUUUUGUGUUUCUUUCCUUUGUAUUCAUGCUGAAUUUGAAUUCUUGAUGCAUCAGAUAUUAGACUAGUUGAUAGCAUUGUUCUUGAUAACAUCACAAGUCCUCAUCUUUUUAUUUUCAGUGCGUUCUUGAUAGCAUUUGUGAAGAUUGUUCGGUGAGUUCUUGGCAAAAAGAAAAGGGUUUUUGUAGAAAUAUUAUUUUUGAUAAAUUGUGUUCUUGAAAAAAAUAAAAACCUAAUUAUUAUGAAAUCAUCAAAGUUCGAUCAAUUAUUAGGAUGCCCCACUGUUAUUUUCUUCAUCUUCGUUGAGUUGUAUAUUUAUGUUGAAUUUGAGUUAUUGACGCAUCAGAUUAUUAGACUAGUUGAUACCAAUGUUCUUGAUAAUAUCACAAGUCCUCAUCUUUCAUUUUCAAUACGCUCUUGAUAGCAUCUCUGAAGAUUUUUCAGCGAGUUCUUGGCAAAAAGAAAAGGGUUUUUGCAGAAAUCUUGUUUGGUAAAUUGGGUUCUUGAAAAAUAAAAUAACUAAUCAUUAUGAAACCAUCAGAGUUUGAUCAAUUACUAGGAUGCUUAACUGUUAUUUUCUUCAUUUUUGCUGAGUUUUGUAUUCAUGUUUAAUUUGAGUUCUUGAUGCAUCAGAUUAUUAGACUAGUUGAUAGUAUUGUUCUUGAUAACGUCGUAAUUUUUCAUCUUUCAUGUUCUAUGCAUCAUUGAUAGCAUCUCAGAAGAUUUUUCAGAGAGUUCUUGGCUAAAAGAAAAGGUCUUUUGUAGAAAUCUUAUUUUGGUAAAUGGUGUUCUUGAACAAAAUAAAAUAAAAAACUAAUUAUUACGAAACCAUCAAAGUCUAAUUAAUUAUUAGGAUGCCCCAAUUGUUAUUUUCUUAUUAUAACCCCUCCUACCAUUGUCUUCAUUGUUAAUUUUGUUUAAAAAUUGCGUGUAACACAUGUUGAAAGAGGAAUUUGAAAUAAAUGAGGAGCUUUGUGAAGAAGAAGAGGUAUGAAAUGGUAGGUCAAACCUCGAGUGGUUUCAUAAUAAUUAACCAAAAGAAUAUAAUUAAUCCAAAAAGAAUGGUGUUUUAUCGAAAAGAUUAGUUUCUGAUCACUUUGUUUGCUUGUAACCGGUUGCCUGCUGUAUCAAGCAUGAAGGUACAAAUUUCCUAACUCCCUCCGUGCAAAUUCCAUUCAUGAAUUCCUUGUUCUGUUAACUUCUCUAAGAUCAUCGAAGUUUCAAUGUCUGUUCAGUUGUGGUUCUAAAUUAAACAAUUUUUUAAAGGACUCUGCCAAGGAUAUCUAUAGAAAUAUGAAAGUAAGCGGAGGCUGCCAAAGCAGGGAUCCAACUAAAUUCGCCGCUGCAUGUUUAUACCUAGCAUGUAAAGCGGACGACGCACCUCGAACAUUGAGGGGUAUGUUGUUUUGAGUUAAUUUAAGACAAAGAUUACUCUUUUACCUUUCCAUGCUUAUUUAAGUACAUUCUAGUUCAUGUUGUUUUGAGUUAAUCUAAAACAAAAGAUUAAAUUAGUGCUGCUUGUAUUGGAGAUGGGGGAGCUACAGACAAUAACAUCGCCCAGGAGAGCCAAUUUAUCCUAGAUCAAUUUAAGGAUGCUGGUGAACCAAUGGUACCAGGUUUCACUAAGGCAUCACAGCUCAUGGUAAAUUUCUUAUUUCAAUUUUUUUAUACUUGUAGUUGUAUAUUACAACUUAUGCUAGACUCUAGUUUCAAAUUUUCUAUACUUGUAAUUGUAUAUUUGUCAAAUAAAAUUUAAGAGAACCUUGCAGGGACGAUUUUGUUCAAAGCUCGGCAUGUGCCAUGGAGCUACAAGAGCUGCAAGAGAGGUUGUUCGCAACUUAGAAGAACUCAAUCUAAGGUGUAUAUAGGAGGCUACCUGCAUCUAUUGCGGGGGCGGCAAUUUAUAUGGUUACUCAAUUAUCAGAUGAAAAGAAGCCUUUAAAAGAUAUAGCGCUAGUUACGAAAUGUUCACAGGGAUAUGUACCCGUCAGCUGCUAGAAUCAUACCAAGGUGGUUUAAAACUGAUGUCUCAGCCCUCCGCAAACCCCGUAAUCUCGCCAACUGAAGCCUUACGCAAGGCUGUUCUACAUGGUGCAUUGUAAAGAGAGAUGAACGCAAUUCCGGAGUCCGAUGCGCUUAUAUGGAAGUGGAUGUGGAGGUGAUCUGAGAUUUGUGUUUUGCCGAAAGAAUGAGAUUGAAGAUUUUCUUCUGUUAGAUCUCUUACUGGCUUGGAUCUAUUGAAAACUGAUGUAUUUGGAGUAGGGGGUGUAGCUUUCAUGUUGUAAACAACCAGUUUUUGGGCACUGUAGGAGUCUGACUAAUUUCUAUACUUGUUUCAGUUUUAUACCGUAUCAUAGAUGUAAAGGGAGAGACGUGUAGAUACAUAAUUUGGGGGACUGGGUAAUUUGUAUAGCUUCAGGAGGAUUCUUGUGAUGUGUGUUUCUUGUAUGUUUCCAUGUGUAGUCUCUGUUUGAAGAAAACAAAAGUAUUGCCUUUUCAAAUUGGAGAGGGAUUACACACCUUCAUA
This is an RNA transcript of Asparagus officinalis (garden asparagus), 6385 nucleotides long. It is a transcript of the gene named transcription initiation factor IIB-like, with no coding region annotated. The transcript is spliced from 5 exons. Lineage: Eukaryota; Viridiplantae; Streptophyta; Magnoliopsida; Asparagales; Asparagaceae. The record is from RefSeq and is a predicted model, not a curated record.